UAGAGUAUAGCUUAAAUAAAGCAAUUCGCUUACACCGAAAAAAUGUCUGCUAAUCCGGACUACUCUAAG
Molecule: transfer RNA, 69 nt
Filed under: Pristimantis sp. SBH-2007
Lineage: Eukaryota; Metazoa; Chordata; Amphibia; Anura; Strabomantidae
Description: tRNA-Val
Rfam family: tRNA
About the family: Transfer RNA (tRNA) molecules are approximately 80 nucleotides in length. Their secondary structure includes four short double-helical elements and three loops (D, anti-codon, and T loops).
Source: RNAcentral